RNAcentral lists this unclassified non-coding RNA (216 nucleotides) under plant metagenome. RNAcentral's name for it is "partial contains small subunit ribosomal RNA, internal transcribed spacer 1, and 5.8S ribosomal RNA". The record is from RNAcentral.
UCUCCGUAGGUGAACCUGCGGAGGGAUCAUUACAAGUGACCCCGGUCUUACCACCGGGAUGUUCAUAACCCUUUGUUGUCCGACUCUGUUGCCUCCGGGGCGACCCUGCCUUCGGGCGGGGGCUCCGGGUGGACACUUCAAACUCUUGCGUAACUUUGCAGUCUGAGUAAACUUAAUUAAUAAAUUAAAACUUUUAACAACGGAUCUCUUGGUUCU